Molecule: ribosomal RNA, 1411 nt
Filed under: Lactiplantibacillus pentosus
Lineage: Bacteria; Bacillati; Bacillota; Bacilli; Lactobacillales; Lactobacillaceae
Description: bacterial SSU rRNA
Rfam family: Bacterial small subunit ribosomal RNA
Source: RNAcentral
UAUUGAUUGGUGCUUGCAUCAUGAUUUACAUUUGAGUGAGUGGCGAACUGGUGAGUAACACGUGGGAAACCUGCCCAGAAGCGGGGGAUAACACCUGGAAACAGAUGCUAAUACCGCAUAACAACUUGGACCGCAUGGUCCGAGUUUGAAAGAUGGCUUCGGCUAUCACUUUUGGAUGGUCCCGCGGCGUAUUAGCUAGAUGGUGGGGUAACGGCUCACCAUGGCAAUGAUACGUAGCCGACCUGAGAGGGUAAUCGGCCACAUUGGGACUGAGACACGGCCCAAACUCCUACGGGAGGCAGCAGUAGGGAAUCUUCCACAAUGGACGAAAGUCUGAUGGAGCAACGCCGCGUGAGUGAAGAAGGGUUUCGGCUCGUAAAACUCUGUUGUUAAAGAAGAACAUAUCUGAGAGUAACUGUUCAGGUAUUGACGGUAUUUAACCAGAAAGCCACGGCUAACUACGUGCCAGCAGCCGCGGUAAUACGUAGGUGGCAAGCGUUGUCCGGAUUUAUUGGGCGUAAAGCGAGCGCAGGCGGUUUUUUAAGUCUGAUGUGAAAGCCUUCGGCUCAACCGAAGAAGUGCAUCGGAAACUGGGAAACUUGAGUGCAGAAGAGGACAGUGGAACUCCAUGUGUAGCGGUGAAAUGCGUAGAUAUAUGGAAGAACACCAGUGGCGAAGGCGGCUGUCUGGUCUGUAACUGACGCUGAGGCUCGAAAGUAUGGGUAGCAAACAGGAUUAGAUACCCUGGUAGUCCAUACCGUAAACGAUGAAUGCUAAGUGUUGGAGGGUUUCCGCCCUUCAGUGCUGCAGCUAACGCAUUAAGCAUUCCGCCUGGGGAGUACGGCCGCAAGGCUGAAACUCAAAGGAAUUGACGGGGGCCCGCACAAGCGGUGGAGCAUGUGGUUUAAUUCGAAGCUACGCGAAGAACCUUACCAGGUCUUGACAUACUAUGCAAAUCUAAGAGAUUAGACGUUCCCUUCGGGGACAUGGAUACAGGUGGUGCAUGGUUGUCGUCAGCUCGUGUCGUGAGAUGUUGGGUUAAGUCCCGCAACGAGCGCAACCCUUAUUAUCAGUUGCCAGCAUUAAGUUGGGCACUCUGGUGAGACUGCCGGUGACAAACCGGAGGAAGGUGGGGAUGACGUCAAAUCAUCAUGCCCCUUAUGACCUGGGCUACACACGUGCUACAAUGGAUGGUACAACGAGUUGCGAACUCGCGAGAGUAAGCUAAUCUCUUAAAGCCAUUCUCAGUUCGGAUUGUAGGCUGCAACUCGCCUACAUGAAGUCGGAAUCGCUAGUAAUCGCGGAUCAGCAUGCCGCGGUGAAUACGUUCCCGGGCCUUGUACACACCGCCCGUCACACCAUGAGAGUUUGUAACACCCAAAGUCGGUGGGGUAACCUUUUAGGAACCAGC